CUUAUGCUAAAACUAAAAAAAAACAAUAACAAAAAAUAAAAAUAAAAUUCAUAAGCAAAAACAAGACUAAAACCCAGCCAGUGCAUAGUAUAGCAUAGCAAACGCUUUUGUGUGUGGUUAGAGUGCAAGCGGCCGCAACAAAAAGUCAGUGUUAAUGUGUGUGUUUUUCGAGCGAUGCAACUGAUUGUUGACAAAAUUCCCAUGUUUUCGAAACAAACAACGAAACGUAAUUCCAAAAACUUACAAAAGCCGAUCGCUCGCAGAAAAAGCGUUCAACAGCCUUCUUGGCGCUCGUGUCCUUACAGUUUCGGCAGAACCUGCAGAAGACAGCCGUGAGUUUGUAGACAUUUUCAUUGCUCAUUCCCAACAUAGCUCUGGUUUCUUAGCGGGUCGUAGGUAUUUCAACUCAAGAGAUUAUAAUGAACGAACUAGAGGAGCAAGAGACGAGCACCAGAAGGAGAGCGAAUCACUUGAGCCUUGGGAGAGUACUUCCGGUACUGGAACAGAUGAAGUUUACACUCAAGGUGCUUCACGUCUUUGUAAAGGCAGCCUCGGCUACCUCGGAAAAUAAAUGAAAAUGUGUCCAAGCAAAAUGAAAAUGAAAUCAGCCAACAGAAUAAGAUCAGCAGAUCAGAGCAACAAGCACACCUAACCCAAAGUCUGAAACGGAGCUGGAAACUUUGCCAUAUAUGGAACAAAUGGAAGAGCCUCAACGAAAGGCGAUAAAGUUAUUUACCCAAAAGUGACGUUGUAAAUAACAAAAGUCUUGAAAGUUGUUCUACGCUCAGCCCUUCCUACCUAGCGCUAAACGAAAAACCACGGAGAGAGUCUCAAAACAAUCAAAGUUCAGAAAACAAGACGACAAGACACAGUUAUGAAACAAGAUUAGCCAAUCGAGACUCAUCUAAGCAGCACGCACAAGAUUAUAGGGUUAAAUGGGAUUUUCGUUUAGAAAUCAGAGCGUCAGAAGUAGUACUACCGAGGAAUAAAGAAGCUAAUCAAUACAAGCAAAGAGUUAAUCGAUCAUCAAAUGACGCUACGAAACAAGCGUUGUACGAAGCUAAGACCAAAAAGUCAGUAAUUGAAGAAGCCAAAUAUAGACAACAGUUGAUACCGGACAUGCGCAUUUAAGCCCACUACGAACACUGUUUGUGUGGCGACACGGACAAUAAACGAUCACAAGAACUCCAAAUGAAAGCAUCUCCGAAAAGACUGGACCGAAUAUCGAAAAAUAAGGCACAAGAAAAUUAUCUAAGCGGCCCAACAUCAACAAAACGGUAUCAGCAAUAUAACAAAAAAUUAAGAGUGAUAGCGUUUUAAAAAAUACGCUACCAGAUAAGAGUAUUUUAGAAAGUACUAAGCGGCCAAGUAGAUUAAGUAAUAGUCGACGAUUAAAAAGCGGCUAUCACAAACUGGAGAAUAAAGCGAACUUCAAGAACAACGAUCUAUACAACUCUCGGAAACAAUAUUAUCGCGCAUAGCCGAACAGCGUAAACAACAAUAUGACCAAAGUGGAAAAGUUGCAGGACUUGGAAGAGAGACGUCCUCUAGAAGCACAUUGCGGCCGAGACAAAAACCACAACUGGGAAGGCUACAAGCUUCUAAAGAAAAUUAGUUUCUCGGAAACAAAGUAUCUGAGAGAGAAUAUAGCAAGAUGCGGUACAAAGGAAUAGCGCAACACUGGAACAAUCGGAGUUAGGAAGCAGACGUUCGACUAGACUGGACAAACUGUUUGAAAAUAUUAUUUUAGAUAGUAUGACGGCAAAUAGAGCCAGGUGAGCUAAAAAGUCAAACGCCAUCUAAGGAUGACCAACGAUUUGGGAAAUUUUAAAAGGUGCGCGAGGGGGAAAAUGUAGCAACAACAGAAAUUGUGUUGCAAUAAAAAGAACAAAAGUGAUUUAGCACUUUGAGGGCCAUCAGGUCAUGAACAAACGUUUAAAUAUAUAAUCUUAGAAAUAAUACUUGAUAAGCCAAAAAAUUCCAUUCAAACAUCAACGGUCGGAGCAAAAACAUGAUGAUCAACAAGUGAGAGACAAUAUGGCGCCAUCAAACAAAGUAGGAGAGAACUUAAAGAGUCAAGUAAUGCAAAUAAGAAAACUAAGUAGAAUGCUGAAUAUCGCUCGAUCAGCUAAAUGAGCAACGAAAGAGCAAAGGGAUGAGCCAGUAAAUAAAGUUUCAGAAAAGUCAGCAUUGGAACA
Molecule: long non-coding RNA, 2198 nt
Organism: Rhagoletis pomonella (apple maggot)
Lineage: Eukaryota; Metazoa; Arthropoda; Insecta; Diptera; Tephritidae
Exons: 2
Source: RefSeq, a predicted model, not a curated record